RNAcentral lists this ribosomal RNA (490 nucleotides) under uncultured bacterium. Its description in RNAcentral is "partial 16S ribosomal RNA". It matches the Rfam family "Bacterial small subunit ribosomal RNA", at positions 30 to 507 of the family's 1533-position model. The record is from RNAcentral.
AUUGAACGCUGGCGGCAGGCCUAACACAUGCAAGUCGAACGGUAACAGGAAGCAGCUUGCUGCUUCGCUGACGAGUGGCGGACGGGUGAGUCAUGUCUGGGAAGCUGCCUGAUGGAGGGGGAUAACUACUGGAAACGGUAGCUAAUACCGCAUAAUGUCGCAAGACCAAAGAGGGGGACCUUCGGGCCUCUUGCCAUCGGAUGUGCCCAGAUGGGAUUAGCUUGUUGGUGGGGUAACGGCUCACCAAGGCGACGAUCCCUAGCUGGUCUGAGAGGAUGACCAGCCACACUGGAACUGAGACACGGUCCAGGCUCCUACGGGAGGCAGCAGUGGGGAAUAUUGCACAAUGGGCGCAAGCCUGAUGCAGCCAUGCCGCGUGUAUGAAGAAGGCCUUCGGGUUGUAAAGUACUUUCAGCGGGGAGGAAGGGAGUAAAGUUAAUACCUUUGCUCAUUGACGUUACCCGCAGAAGAAGCACCGGCUAACUCCGUG